AUUGAACGCUGGCGGCAUGCUUUACACAUGCAAGUCGAACGGCAGCGCGGGCUUCGCCCUCUCGUCCGGGGGCGGACGGGCGGGUAAUGCAGCGAAACGUGCGCAGCUGCGGGGGAUAGGGCGGCGAAAGAGGGAUUAAUACCGCAUAAGCCCAUAGGGUGAAAGCGGGGAACCGGAAGACCUUGCGCCCUUGCACGAGCCGAUGUCGGAUUAGCUAGUUGGUGGGGUAAAGGCGUACCAAGGCGACGAUCCGUAGCUGGUCUGAGAGGACGACCAGCCACACUGGGACUGAGACACGGCCCAGACUCCUACGGGAGGCAGCAGUGGGGAAUUUUGGACAAUGGGGGCAACCCUGAUCCAGCCAUGCCGCGUGCGUGAAGAAGGCCUUCGGGUUGUAAAGCGCUUUUGUUCGGGAAGAAAACCUCUGGGCUAAUACCCCGGGGGGCUGACGGUACCGGAAGAAUAAGCACCGGCUAACUACGUG
This 484-nucleotide ribosomal RNA is filed under the name uncultured bacterium. RNAcentral describes it as "partial 16S ribosomal RNA". It matches the Rfam family "Bacterial small subunit ribosomal RNA", at positions 28 to 507 of the family's 1533-position model. The record is from RNAcentral.